Molecule: ribosomal RNA, 614 nt
Filed under: uncultured bacterium
Lineage: Bacteria
Description: bacterial SSU rRNA
Rfam family: Bacterial small subunit ribosomal RNA (bases 1-520)
Source: RNAcentral
CCUACGGGAGGCAGCAGUGGGGAAUAUUGGGCAAUGGAGGAAACUCUGACCCAGCGACGCCGCGUGCGGGAUGAAGGCCUUCGGGUUGUAAACCGCUUUCAGUAGGGAAGAAGCGAAAGUGACGGUACCUACAAAAGAAGCACCGGCUAACUAUGUGCCAGCAGCCGCGGUAAUACAUAGGGUGCAAGCGUUGUCCGGAAUUAUUGGGCGUAAAGAGCUCGUAGGUCGUUUGUUACGUCGGAUGUGAAAACCUGAGGCUCAACCUCAGGCCUGCAUUCGAUACGGGCAAACUAGAGUUUGGUAGGGGAGACUGGAAUUCCUGGUGUAGCGGUGGAAUGCGCAGAUAUCAGGAGGAACACCAAUGGCGAAGGCAGGUCUCUGGGCCAAUACUGACACUGAGGAGCGAAAGUCUGGGGAGCGAACAGGAUUAGAUACCCUGGUAGUCCAGACCGUAAACGGUGGGCACUAGUUGUGGGAACCUUCCACGGUUUCUGCGACGCAGCUACGCAUAGUGCCCGCCGUCGGGAGGUACGAGUCGCGAGAAGUUAAAACGUUAAAAGUAAGUAGUAGUAACGGUCGUAGAGAGUCGACGACGACGACGACGGAGGAGGAGG